UACGUAGGGGGCAAGCGUUGUCCGGAUUUACUGGGUGUAAAGGGCGCGCAGGCGGGUCGGUAAGUCAGUGGUGAAAUCCUACAGCUUAACUGUAGAACUGCCUUUGAUACUGCCGAUCUUGAGUUCGGAAGAGAGAGACGGAAUUCCAGGUGUAGUGGUGAAAUACGUAGAUAUCUGGAAGAACACCAGUUGCGUAGGCGGUCUCUUGGUCCGAUACUGACGCUGAGGCGCGAAAGCGUGGGGAGCAAAC
This 250-nucleotide ribosomal RNA is filed under the name uncultured bacterium. RNAcentral describes it as "partial 16S ribosomal RNA". It matches the Rfam family "Bacterial small subunit ribosomal RNA", at positions 524 to 773 of the family's 1533-position model. The record is from RNAcentral.